This 253-nucleotide ribosomal RNA is filed under the name uncultured bacterium. RNAcentral describes it as "partial 16S ribosomal RNA". It matches the Rfam family "Bacterial small subunit ribosomal RNA", at positions 524 to 776 of the family's 1533-position model. The record is from RNAcentral.
UACGAAGGGGGCUAGCGUUGCUCGGAAUUACUGGGCGUAAAGCGCACGUAGGCGGCUUUCUAAGUCGGGGGUGAAAUCCUGGAGCUCAACUCCAGAACUGCCUUCGAUACUGGAGAGCUCGAGUCCGGGAGAGGUGAGUGGAACUGCGAGUGUAGAGGUGAAAUUCGUAGAUAUUCGCAAGAACACCAGUGGCGAAGGCAGCCCCCUGGGCCGACACUGACGCUCAGGCACGAAAGCGUGGGGAGCAAACAGG